AUUGAUACCUGGCAGAGGAGAUACCAUGAUCACAAAGGUGGUUUUCUCAGGGUGAGGCCAUGCAUUGCACUCUGGGUGUGUUGGCCCCUGUGAUUUCCCCAAAUACAGGAAACUCGACUGCAUAAUGUGUGGUAGUGGGAGACUGAGUUUGUGCUUUCCCCUA
Small nuclear RNA from Gorilla gorilla gorilla (western lowland gorilla), 163 nucleotides. Its record names the gene U1. It matches the Rfam family "U1 spliceosomal RNA". Rfam says of the family: U1 is a small nuclear RNA (snRNA) component of the spliceosome (involved in pre-mRNA splicing). Its 5' end forms complementary base pairs with the 5' splice junction, thus defining the 5' donor site of an intron. The record is from Ensembl. Lineage: Eukaryota; Metazoa; Chordata; Mammalia; Primates; Hominidae.